RNAcentral lists this ribosomal RNA (478 nucleotides) under uncultured bacterium. RNAcentral describes it as "partial 16S ribosomal RNA". It matches the Rfam family "Bacterial small subunit ribosomal RNA", at positions 28 to 523 of the family's 1533-position model. The record is from RNAcentral.
GACGAACGCUGGCGGCGUGCUUAACACAUGCAAGUCGAACGGUAAGGCCCUUCGGGGUACACGAGUGGCGAACGGGUGAGUAACACGUGGGUGAUCUCGCCUGCACUUCGGGAUAAGCCUGGGAAACUGGGCCUCAUACCGGAUAGGACCACUGCAUGCGUGGGUGGUGGGGGAACGCUUUUGCGGUGUGGGAUGGGCCCGCGGCCUAUCAGCUUGUUGGUGGGGUGAUGGCCUACCAAGGCGACGACGGGUAGCCGGCCUGAGGGGGGGGCCGGCCUCACUGGGACUGAGAUACGGCCCAGACUCCUACGGGAGGCAGCAGUGGGGAAGAUUGCACAAUGGGCGCAAGCCUGAUGCAGCGACGCCGCGUGGGGGAUGACGGCCUUCGGGUUGUAAACCUCUUUCAGCACCGACGAAGCGCAAGUGACGGUAGGUGCAGAAGAAGGACCGGCCAACUACGUGCCAGCCGCCGCCGUAA